UAGGGAAUCUUCCACAAUGGACGCAAGUCUGAUGGAGCAACGCCGCGUGAGUGAAGAAGGGUUUCGGCUCGUAAAGCUCUGUUGGUAGUGAAGAAAGAUAGAGGUAGUAACUGGCCUUUAUUUGACGGUAAUUACUUAGAAAGUCACGGCUAACUACGUGCCAGCAGCCGCGGUAAUACGUAGGUGGCAAGCGUUGUCCGGAUUUAUUGGGCGUAAAGCGAGUGCAGGCGGUUCAAUAAGUCUGAUGUGAAAGCCUUCGGCUCAACCGGAGAAUUGCAUCAGAAACUGUUGAACUUGAGUGCAGAAGAGGAGAGUGGAACUCCAUGUGUAGCGGUGGAAUGCGUAGAUAUAUGGAAGAACACCAGUGGCGAAGGCGGCUGUCUGGUCUGCAACUGACGCUGAGGCUCGAAAGCAUGGGUAGCGAACAGGAUUAGAUACCCUGGUAGUCCAUGCCGUAAACGAUGAGUGCUAGGUGUUGGAGGGUUUCCGCCCUUCAGUGCCGGAGCUAACGCAUUAAGCACUCCGCCUGGGGAGUACGACCGCAAGGUUG
RNAcentral lists this ribosomal RNA (550 nucleotides) under uncultured bacterium. RNAcentral's name for it is "bacterial SSU rRNA". It matches the Rfam family "Bacterial small subunit ribosomal RNA", at positions 355 to 896 of the family's 1533-position model. The record is from RNAcentral.